RNAcentral lists this transfer RNA (81 nucleotides) under Paragonimus heterotremus. RNAcentral describes it as "tRNA-Tyr". It matches the Rfam family "tRNA". From Rfam's summary of the family: Transfer RNA (tRNA) molecules are approximately 80 nucleotides in length. The record is from RNAcentral. Lineage: Eukaryota; Metazoa; Platyhelminthes; Trematoda; Plagiorchiida; Troglotrematidae.
AGCUUCGUGGUUCAGCUGACAGAGCGGUUGCCGCGUAGAGGCAUGGUGUUUCUGUCGCUGGUUCGAAUCCAGCCGAAGCCC